UUUUCUGGCGUCUUCGGCGUCGGAGUUGUAAUUUGGAGGGAUAACUUCGGGGUUGGCGCCGUCCUAAGUUCCUUGGAACAGGACGUCACAGAGGGUGAGAAUCCCGUGCCUGGAUGGCUGUCCAACUCCAUGUGAAGUGUCUCCGACGAGUCGAGUUGUUUGGGAAUGCAGCUCAAAAUGGGUGGUAAAUUUCAUCUAAAGCUAAAUAUUGGGGAGAGACCGAUAGCGCACAAGUAGAGUGAUCGUUAGAUGAAAAGCACUUUGUAAAGAGAGUUAAAAAGUACGUGAAAUUGUUGAAAGGGAAGCGCUUGCGACCAGACUCGAUCUUUGGUGAUCAGCCGGGCAUCUCUCCGGUGCCCUCGCCAUUGAUUGGGCCUGCAUCGGUUCUGAGGGCGGGAUUAAAGGAGGAGGAAUGUGGCUCCCUUCGGGGAGUGUUAUAGCCUCCUUCAGAAUCCCGCCAGUUGGGACCGAGGACCGCGCUUCGGCUAGGAUGCUGGCGUAAUGGUCUUAAGCGACCCGUCUUGAAACACGGACCAUGGAGUGUAACUUCUAUGCGAGUGUUCCGGUGGAAAAGGCUUGCGUGUAAUGAAAGUGAUCGGAGGUGUGAACCGUUAAGGGGGUGCAACAUCGACCGGUCCUGAUGUGUUCGGAAGGAUCUGAGUAAGAGGAUAGCUGUUGGGUCCGGUAAGAUGGUGAACUAUGCCUGAAUACGGUU
Molecule: ribosomal RNA, 715 nt
Filed under: Ascorhizoctonia sp.
Lineage: Eukaryota; Fungi; Ascomycota; Pezizomycetes; Pezizales; Pyronemataceae
Description: partial large subunit ribosomal RNA
Rfam family: Eukaryotic large subunit ribosomal RNA
Source: RNAcentral